This 754-nucleotide ribosomal RNA is filed under the name 'Sesamum indicum' phyllody phytoplasma. RNAcentral describes it as "bacterial SSU rRNA". It matches the Rfam family "Bacterial small subunit ribosomal RNA", at positions 430 to 1191 of the family's 1533-position model. The record is from RNAcentral. Lineage: Bacteria; Bacillati; Mycoplasmatota; Mollicutes; Acholeplasmatales; Acholeplasmataceae.
GUUCUUUUAUCAAGGAAGAAAAGCAAAUGGCGAACCAUUUGUUUGCCGGUACUUGAUGAAUAAGCCCCGGCUAAUUAUGUGCCAGCAGCCGCGGUAAGACAUAAGGGGCAAGUGUUAUCCGGAAUUAUUGGGCGUAAAGGGUGCGUAGGCGGUCUAGUAAGUCAGUGGUGUAAUGGCAACGCUUAACGUUGUCCGGCUAUUGAAACUGCUAAACUUGAGUUAGAUAGAGGCGAGUGGAAUUCCAUGUGUAGCGGUAAAAUGCGUAAAUAUAUGGAGGAACACCAGAGGCGUAGGCGGCUCGCUGGGUCUUAACUGACGCUGAGGCACGAAAGCGUGGGGAGCAAACAGGAUUAGAUACCCUGGUAGUCCACGCCGUAAACGAUGAGUACUAAGUGUCGGGUUAAACCGGUACUGAAGUUAACACAUUAAGUACUCCGCCUGAGUAGUACGUACGCAAGUAUGAAACUUAAAGGAAUUGACGGGACUCCGCACAAGCGGUGGAUCAUGUUGUUUAAUUCGAAGAUACCCGAAAAACCUUACCAGGUCUUGACAUGUUUUUGCAAAAUGAUAGUAAUAUCGUGGAGGUUACCAGAAACACAGGUGGUGCAUGGUUGUCGUCAGCUCGUGUCGUGAGAUGUUAGGUUAAGUCCUAAAACGAGCGAAACCCUUAUCGUUAGUUGCCAGCACGUUAUGGUGGGGACUUUAACGAGACUGCCAAUGAUAAAUUGGAGGAAGGUGAGGAUCACGUCAAAUC